AGUUCUUCUGUGAGGACAGCCCUGUGUGCAGAGGCCUGGAAGCUGGUGGGCGGCCAGCUGGUGGUCCUGGGUCCUGGGUCCGGGUCCUGGGUCCUGGGUCCGGGUCCUGGGUCCUGGGUCCUGGGUCCUGGGUCCUGGGUCCGGGUCCUGGGUCCUGGUCCUGGGUCCUGGUCCGGUCCUGGGUCCGGGUCCUGGGUCCUGGGUCCUGGUCCUGGGUCCUGGGUCCGGGUCCGGGUCCUGAGUCCUGGGUCCGGUCCUGGGUCCUGGGUCCUGGGUCCUGGGUUCCUGGGGUCCUGGGUCCUGGUCCUGGUCCGGGUCCGGGUCCUGGGUCCGGGUUCCUGGGUCCGGUCCUGGGUCCUGGGUCCUGGGUCCGGGUCCUGGGUCCGGGUCCUGAGUCCUGGGUCCGGGUCCUGGGUCCUGGUCCUGGGUCCGGGUCCUGGGUCCUGGUCCGGGUCCUGGGUCCUGGGUCCGGGUCCUGGGUCCUGGGUCCGGGUCCGGGUCCUGGGUCCUGGGUCUGGGUCCGGUCCUGGGUCCUGGGUCCGGGUCCUGGUCCUGGGUCCGGGUCCCUGGGUCCUGGUCCUGGUCCUGGGUCCGGGUCCUGGGUUCCUGGGUCCUGGGUCCGGGUUCCUGGGUCCGGGCCUGGGUCCUGGGUCCUGGUCUGGGUCCGGUCCUGGGUCCGGGCCUGGGUCCUGGGUCCGGGUCCUGGUCCGGGUCUGGGUCCUGGUCGGGGUCCUGGGUCCUGGGUCCGGUUCCUGGGUCCGGUCCUGGGUCUGGGUCCUGGGUCCUGGGUCCUGUGUCCGGGGUCCUGGGUCCUGGGUCCGGGUCCUGGGUCCUGGGUCCUGGGUCCUGGGUCCGGGUCCUGGGUCCUGGGUCCUGGGCCUGGGUCCUGGGUCCGGGUUCCGGGUCCUGGGUCCUGGGUCCUGGGUCCUGGGUCCGGGUCCUGGGUCCUGGGGUCCUGGGUUCCUGGGGUCCUGGUCCUGGGUCCGGGUCCUGGGUCCUGGGUCCUGGGUCCUGGGUCGGGUCCUGGGUCUGGGUCUGGGUCUGGGUCCUGGGUCUGGGUCCUGGGUCCGGGUCCUGGGUCCUGGUCCGGGUCCUGGGUCCUGGGCCUGGGUCCUGGGCCUGGGUCCUGGGUUCCGGGUCCUGGGUCCUGGGUCCUGGGUCGGGUCCUGGGUCCUGGGUCUGGGUCCUGGGCCUGGGUCCUGGGUCCUGGGUCUGGGUCCUGGGUCCUGGGUCCGGGUCCUGGGUCCUGGGUCUGGGUCCUGGUCCUGGGUCCGGGUCCUGGGUCCUAGGUCCUGGGUCUGGGUCCUGGGUCCUGGGUCCGGGUCCUGGGUCCUGGGUCCUGGGUCCUGGUCCUGGGUCCGGGUCCUGGGUCCUGGUCCUGGGUCCUGGGUCCUGGGUCCUGGGUCCAGGUCCUGGGUCCUGGGUCCUGGGUCCGGGUUCCUGGGGUCCUGGGUCCUGGGGUCCUGGGUCCAGGUCCUGGGUCCUGGGUCCGGGUCCUGGGUCCUGGGUCCUGGGUCCGGGUCCUGGGUCCUGGGUCCUGGGUCCGGGUCCUGGGUCCUGGGUCCGGGUCUGGGUCCUGGUCCGGGUCCUGGGUCCUGGGUCCGGGUCCUGGGUCGGGUAGAGGACGAGCAGCGCAGGCCAGGCCGGGAGGAACCGCAUCCCCCGGGGCUCAGCUGGCCUCCAGGAGUCUGGCAGGAGCGUGAGUGCCCCUGGUUACUCUGUCACACUGGCCAGGUGGACAGGUCUUCUCCCAAGAGCCCGGGGCCAGGAGGAAAUCCGGGGAGCCCAGGGAAAAUCAGAAGUCGGACGGUAAGCAAGUUAGCAGCUUCCUGUGUUCUCCUUAAACCUACGAGCUGGAAGCCAACACCGGUGGCCCCGUGUCAUCCAAGGCAGGCAGCGGCACCUGGCCAUGGAUGGGGGACAGGGAGGAUACUGGCGAAUACAAACCCAAACCCUCAAAUGUAG
RNAcentral lists this long non-coding RNA (1965 nucleotides) under Felis catus (domestic cat). RNAcentral's name for it is "lncRNA (ENSFCAG00000049949.1)". The record is from RNAcentral. Lineage: Eukaryota; Metazoa; Chordata; Mammalia; Carnivora; Felidae.